Molecule: transfer RNA, 1234 nt
Filed under: Bartonella quintana
Lineage: Bacteria; Pseudomonadati; Pseudomonadota; Alphaproteobacteria; Hyphomicrobiales; Bartonellaceae
Description: partial contains 16S ribosomal RNA and 16S-23S ribosomal RNA intergenic spacer
Rfam family: tRNA (bases 435-508)
Source: RNAcentral
GUACAGGUAGCCGUAGGGGAACCUGUGGCUGGAUCACCUCCUUUCUAAGGAUGAUGAAGAAGAGGAACUUUCUUUAAAAGAAAAGACUUCUCUUUUUGAUCUGAUUAGACAUAAGGUUUAAACGAAUCCGUUUAAACCACGCAUAUGACGCUAAAUCUUAUUGAGACCUCAGCUCAAAAGAGAGCUCUCUUUUUACAAAGAGUCCUCCCUCUCUUUAUGAGGCCUCUCCCUCAUUAUGAGACAGUGUUCCCAUGAGAGGUUAGCGCUCAUGUGUUUACAAAUAUAAACAGGCUAGCCGCCUUCGUUUCUCUUUCUUCAGAUGAUGAUCCCAAGCCUUCGGGCGAUCUCUUAAAAUAAGCCCUUUGGGACUUUAAGGAAGACACUUUUGUGUUUUAUGAGAUAAUGCCGGGGAAGGUUUUCCGGUUUAUCCCGGAGGGCUUGUAGCUCAGCUGGUUAGAGCGCGCGCUUGAUAAGCGUGAGGUCGGAGGUUCAAGUCCUCCCAGGCCCACCAAUUUUACAUCACUUUUAAGUGCUUAUAGACAUUGUAAGCAGUUAUGAGAGCUUGCUGAUAGAAAUUUUAUGGCGCUUAUCCAUUUGGUUUAAACGAUAUGUGACUUAAGCCAUCUAAAAUUAAAGCAGUUCAAAUGCAUAGAAGUUUCAAUUUUAGACAAUGGAAGUAAAUUUGGACAAUGUGAAUUGAGCAGUAUAAAUUUAGGUUCUGCAAAUUUUGCAAAUCUCUCUUCAAAGAGUUUCGCAUGUUUUAUGCUGUUUUAGGGGCCGUAGCUCAGCUGGGAGAGCACCUGCUUUGCAAGCAGGGGGUCGUCGGUUCGAUCCCGUCCGGCUCCACCAUUUUAGGUCAUCAUCAUUGUUAGAAGAACAGUGUUUGUAGAAGGUUUUCUGACCUUUUGCGUGUUCUAUUGAAAUUGUGAAGAGAAGAUAUAUUCAGACAUGUUGCUUUUGAAAAGUUUGUUCUGAAAGGCAAGAUUUUUCUACAGAGAAAUAGCAAGAGAUAGGCUUGUCGUUAGGUCAACAGAUCUAAAAAAACUGAAAAAAGAAACAAAACUGAAAAAGGCACUUGUGUUGCAAGGGAAUUCUCAAAACCCUUGCCUAUGAUUGGAAGCUUAACCGCGCCACUGAAUAUAUCUCGAGAAGCUGGUCUUUUCUGCUGAUAUUUUUGUUUGUUUUGCGCUUUGUUUUGCACAAGACAAAGAAUGCCGACAAACAUUGAAUGAAU